Herpailurus yagouaroundi (jaguarundi) is the source of this 908-nucleotide long non-coding RNA. RefSeq lists it as uncharacterized. Lineage: Eukaryota; Metazoa; Chordata; Mammalia; Carnivora; Felidae. The transcript has 4 exons. The record is from RefSeq and is a predicted model, not a curated record.
GACAAUUAGUUGUGUUUGUGGCGAAAGUCGUGAAAGGAAAACACAGCAUACAAUGAACAUUUAUUAAAGGGGCACCUCACUUUGCUUGAAGACAAGGGGGAAAUUGUGGUAUCGGUUUUUAAAAUGGAAACAAAGAUCGAGUGGCGGUUGGCUAAUUUGCAUUUUGCAUCUAUAGCUGCACCAGCUGUUACUGUUUGGUGAUUCAGAGAACAUGUAGACCUGACUGUGUGCCCUGGGACCCAGAGAUGAGGUUGCCAGAGGUUCCUCAGGGGAAGCCAGAGAACAUAGGAGAAGACACCGUCUGAGCUGAGGCCCGCGUGAUGAGAAGUUGCCAACCGCUUGGUUACUCGGGAAAGAGUCGUCCACGCAGAGGGAACAGCGGCCAGAGCAGGGGCCCAGAGCGUCGAACCUGCAUUUUUUCCUCCAGAGUCUGAUGCCCAGUGGAGGCUUCGGGGAUCUAGAAGCUGUUACUCCAGAGCCUUGCCCGGCCUUGGCCAAGUGGAAAGGACAUCUUCUCCUCUGUUAACUCGACAUCUUCAGGAAUGGCAGCGGCCAGUGGAGCUCUCUCAUUCAGACACAAGCUCCCGUGAAAGCAAAGAGAAGGCAGUUUCGCCGCAGGGCACCCCACAGCUGUGCUUUCUAGUAUUUGCCCAAAUGGCUUCCUCCAGUAACAGCGAUCACCAAAGCUCUCUGUGUUGAGUAAGUAAGCUUCAUUUUAACCACGCCUGGCUCUGAGUGUUGUAGCCCUCUAAGUUAUUGUAGAACAGUACCCGCACAUGCGUUUCUCAGCCCAGACACCCUGAUAUGGGAGGGUGCCCUCACCAGCAUGGAUCGCUGGCAGUUUGGUUGGGAAGGAUGAGGCAGUUGUUCAAGGGGGGCUGGAGGUGCAACCUGUCAUGCCGUUUAAA